Molecule: ribosomal RNA, 495 nt
Filed under: uncultured bacterium
Lineage: Bacteria
Description: partial 16S ribosomal RNA
Rfam family: Bacterial small subunit ribosomal RNA
Source: RNAcentral
GAUGAACGCUAGCGGGAGGCCUAACACAUGCAAGCCGAGCGGUAUUGUUUCUUCGGAAAUGAGAGAGUGGCGUACGGGUGCGUAACACGUGUGCAACCUGCCUUUAUCUGGGGGAUAGCCUUUCGAAAGGAAGAUUAAUACUCCAUAAUAUAUUGAACGGCAUCGUUUAAUAUUGAAAGCUCCGGCGGAUAGAGAUGGGCACGCGCAAGAUUAGCUAGUUGGUGAGGUAACGGCUCACCAAGGCGAUGAUCUUUAGGGGGCCUGAGAGGGGGAUCCCCCACACUGGUACUGAGACACGGACCAGACUCCUACGGGAGGCAGCAGUGAGGAAUAUUGGUCAAUGGGUGCAAGCCUGAACCAGCCAUCCCGCGUGAAGGACGACUGCCCUAUGGGUUGUAAACUUCUUUUGUACAGGGAUAAACCUACCCUCGUGAGGGUAGCUGAAGGUACUAUACGAAUAAGCACCGGCUAACUCCGUGCCAGCCGCCGCCGUAA